Non-coding RNA from Oncorhynchus mykiss (rainbow trout), 5644 nucleotides. The record is from RefSeq and is a predicted model, not a curated record. NCBI's taxonomy places the organism in Eukaryota, Metazoa, Chordata, Actinopteri, Salmoniformes, Salmonidae.
GGAAGUUCCGAGGCGCACCGACAGGGUGCGGUUCCCUUCUGACUUCGCUGUCCUUGCUCCUCAGUGGAGAAGUGGUUCAAAAGUGUGUCCACCACCGUGAGAGUUGAAGAUUUGAUCACAGCGCAAUACGCACGCUCAUACUAACGAUCCGAGGUGGCUACAAUAACUUAUCACAGAGUUUCUUUAUUCGAAAUUAUAGUGAAUGUUCGUGUUCAACAGCCUGUACAGUUUUAUCUAUCUUGGAUAUUAAAAAAAGACAAAUCGUUUCUUUAUCGACCAGCGUUAUGGAUGUUUCUAAAGGUGUCUUGAUUUUCACUCUAGUCUGCACGUUGCGACCCAUGCUGUCCAUUCAGAUAUGUGACAUCAUGCUGGAGAUGGACAAGGAGAGAGAGACGUGCAUGGCCCAGUUAGAAAACAUGACAACAGGUUGCAGUGGGAUGUGGGACAAGGUGGCCUGCUGGCCCAGCGCCAAUACAGGACAGGUGGUCACCAUCCCCUGCCCUGUCUACUUCUUAUACUUGACCAACGACUUCAUCAUGGGUAACCUGUCGAAGACCUGCACCAGUGAUGGCUGGUCUGAGGUUAGCCCUGCUUCCUAUGCACUGAAUUGUGGGUACAACGCCAAUGUCACCAAAGUUGAUGAUGAUGACAAGGCGGAGUUCUACUGGGCAGUGAAAGUAGGCUACACUAUCGGACACAGUCUCUCUCUCAUCUCCCUCACUAUCGCUAUCGUCCUACUCUGCACUUUUAGGAAGUUGCACUGCACCAGAAACUACAUCCACAUGAACCUGUUUGUGGCGUUCAUACUGAAAGCCAUUGCCGUCUUCAUCAAAGAUGUGGUUUUAUACGAGGUCGCGGAGUCCGACUGUCAACCUGAAACUGUGGGAUGUAAGGCAGGGGUUGUCUUCUUCCAGUACGGCAUCAUGACCAGCUACUUCUGGCUAUUGGUCGAAGGCCUCUACGUCCACACCCUAUUGGCUGUCUCCUUCUUCUCCGAGAGGAAGUACUUCUGGUGGUAUAUUCUGAUUGGCUGGGGAGCGCCAACUGUUUUCAUCACAGCUUGGGUUAUUACAAAGGCUUAUUUAAAACACUCUGGGUGUUGGGACAUUAUUAACGACCAUCCCUGGUGGAUCAUCAAAAUGCCAAUAUUACUGACCAUACUGGUCAACUUCAUCCUGUUCAUCUGUAUAAUCCGGAUCCUGCGUCAGAAAAUGAAUUGCAGAGACAUAGGAAGGAAGGAAUCUCAUCAAUACUCGAGGUUGGCUAAAUCCACACUACUGUUGAUACCUCUGUUCGGAAUCAACUACAUCAUCUUUGCCUUCAUCCCUGAAGACAUCAACACUCGAAUCAGGAUGGUCAUCGACCUGAUUCUAGGAUCCUUCCAGGGGUUUGGGGUUGCAGUCCUGUAUUGUUUCCUAAAUGGAGAGGUGCAGGGGGAGGUGAAGCGUAAGUGGCGGCGAUGGCACAUGCAAAGGUUUCUGGGUAAAGGAGACACCAAAUACCAGCAGCCCCAGUAUCUGGGUAGCAACGGUAAUAACUUCAGCACUCAGAUCACCAUGCUGACCAGGUGUAGCCCCACCACACGUCGAGCUUCCGACUGCCAGGAACACUUCUCUGCUAUCUGAGCCCAGCUCUGGGUGGUAACAGAGGGCAGAGAAGAGGAGGAAACAGAGAUGAGCUGCACUGAAGCGCUGUUUAGUAUUCAGUCAGCACAGUAGAGACCACCAGCCAACCACACACAACAACAGCAAUGAUAGGCUUAGAUCAGGAAAGCCGCGGACCAAUUUAACACAAUUUAUUUAGCUUGUUUUUUGUUUAAUUUAGGAAAUCAGUUCCCAAGUAUUCAUACAAAAAAAAAAAAAAAGAGAGACAUCGUGUCUCAAUAUAAUCAAGGUAUGAAAUUAUUGUUAUUUUCAAAAUGUCUUUUUGGGCUUAGUUGUGGUUGCAGUGUACACAUUUUUACAUGGGGCAGCAGGUAGUCUAGCGGUUAGAGAGAAGCGAGCCAGCAACCGAAGGUUUGCCCGGGUCUGACGGGAAAAAUCUGGCAAAAAGUGAGCUGGCAACCGGAGGUUUGCUGGUAUCAACACACUUAACCCCCCCCCCCCCCACAACAACAGCUCCCCAGGCACUCAGUGUGGCAGCCUCGACACCUCCAAAACCUGUAUACUGUAUGUAUGUAUGUAUGUAUGUAUGUGUGUCUUUCGGAGGGGUUGGGUUAAAAGCGGAAGUUACAUUUCGGUUAGACGUUGUUGACGAAUAAAGUGAUCUAAAGCUUCAUAACAAUGUUCCGGUCCUCCAACCGGCCGCAAUGACAAAAAUCAGCCGUGGCUAAAUCUAGUCACCUAAUCCCUGGUCUACACUAUGUGUUAAAUCCAAAAAACCUUCCAGUUUGAAUCACCAUUGGAUAUAUCUGUGUGUGUAUUGAGUGUUGUGUUAGUCCGUGUGGCAGGGUUGAAGUCAAUUCCAUUUUAAUUCUAGUCAAAUUCAGAAAGUAAAACCAAAUUCCAAAUUUUAAUCAUGGAAAACCAUUCAAGAGAAUUGGAAUUUCAGUGUACUUCCUGAAUUAGAAAUGGAAUUGACCCCAACUCUGCUGUGUGACUUGAGAUAAUCGUAACUUUACAUUGGUCUCAUGAGCUAGCUACAGAAGCCUGAUCCCAGAUCUGUAACAUACUGUAUGUGCUUUAGCCAGCUUCUUUGUCAUACAUGUUUGACAUGACAACAAAUGAACAUGAACAGAGAAGUUGGCUAACAGAAGAGCAACCGGUUAGGAGCUACGGCUAGGUAUUAGGCUAGGAGCUGGGUAACAGGCUAGGAGCUAGGACUGGGUAACAGGCUAGGAGCUGGGUAACAGGCUAGGAGCUAGGACUGGGUAACAGGCUAGGAGCUAGGACUGGGUAACAGGCUAGGAGCUAGGACUGGGUAACAGGCUAGGAGCUAGGACUGGGUAACAGGCUAUGAGCUAGGACUGGGUAACAGGCUAGGAGCUGGGUAACAGGCUAGGAGCUAGGACUGGGUAACAGGCUAGGAGCUAGGACUGAGUAACAGGCUAGGAGCUGGGUAACAGGCUAGGAGCUAGGACUGGGUAACAGGCUAUGAGCUAGGACUGGGUAACAGGCUAGGAGCUAGGACUGGGUAACAGGCUAGGAGCUAGGACUGGGUAACAGGCUAGGAGCUGGGUAACAGGCUAGGAGCUAGGACUGGGUAACAGGCUAGGAGCUAGGACUGGGUAACAGGCUAGGAGCUACGACUAGGUAACAGGCUAGGAGCUAGGACUGGGUAACAGGCCAGGAGCUAAGACUAGGUAACUGGCUAGGAGCUAGGACUGGGUAACAGGCCAGGAGCUAGGACUGGGUAACAGGCCAGGAGCUAAGACUAGGUAUUAGGCUAGGACUGGGUAACAGGCCAGGAGCUAAGACUAGGUAACAGGUUAGGACUAGGUAACAGACUAGGCGCUUGGACUAGGUAACAGGCUAGGAGCUAGGACUGGGUAACAGGCUAGGAGCUAGGACUGGGUAACAGGCCAGGAGCUAAGACUAGGUAACAGGUUAGGAGCUAAGACUAGGUAACAGACUAGGAGCUAGAACUAGGUAACAGACUAGGAACUAGGAGUAGGUAACAGACUAGGAGCUAGGACUAGGUAACAGGCUAGGAGCUAGGACUAUGUAACAGGCUAGGAGCUAGAUAACAGGCUAGGUGAUAGGACUAGGUAACAGGCUAGGAGCUAGUACUCGGUAACAUGUAGGAGCUAGGCAACCGGCUAGGAGCUAGGUAACAGGCUAGGAGCUAGGACUGGGUAACAGGUAUGGAGAUAGGUAACAGGCUAGGAGCUAGGACUAGGUAACAUGCUAGGAACUAAGACUAGGUAACAGACUAGAAGUUAAGACUAGUUAACAGGCUAGGAGCAAGGUAACAGGAUAGGAGCUAGCUAACAGACUAGGAGCUAGCACUAGGAAACAGGCUAGGAGCUAGGACUAGGUAAGAGACUAGGAGCUAGGUAACAGUCUACGACCUAGAAUUAGGUAACAUGGUAGGACUAGGUAAAAGGCUAGGACUAGGUAACAGACUAGGAGCUAGGUAACAGUCUACGACCUAGAAUUAGGUAACAUGGUAGGACUAGGUAAAAGGCUAGGACUUGGUAACAGACUAGGCGCUUGGACUAGGUAACAGGUACGGAGCUAGGUAACAGGCUAGGAGCUAGGACUAGGUAACAUGCUAGGAACUAAGACUAGGUAACAGACUAGAAGCUAGGACUAGGUAACAGGCUAGGACUAGGUAACAGGCUAGGAGCUAAGACUAGUUAACAGGCUAGGAGCAAGGUAACAGGAUAGGAGCUAGCUAACAGACUAGGAGCUAGCACUAGGAAACAGGCUAGGUGCUAGGACUAGGUAACAGGCCAGGACUAGGUAACAGGCUAGGACUCGAUAACAGGCAUAGGCUAAGUCUAGGUAACAGGCUAGGACUAGGUAACAGGCUGGGAGCUAGGACUAUGUAACAGGCAAGGAGCUGGGACUAUGUAACAGGUUAGGUGCAAGAGUGAUUGACUGGCUGUGCUGGCCAGUUCACGUUACUCAACUUUAGAGUCACACGUUGUCGACGUGGCAGCAUCUACAUUGGAAGGAUCUCAAAGUGAAACGUUAUCCACGUGGUCCAGUCUAUAUUGGAAGCAUCUGGUCUCCUCCCUUAUCUAUCUAGUAUCCAGCUGUCCAUGAUCAACCAUUGACGAAGACACUUUUAUGUACCAGAAUUAUGUUGUGUUGAAACAUAGCUGGAUAACAUUCCAAGAAAAGAAGCUUAUAGUUUUCAUAGAAUUUAUGUGCGGGAUUGAAGCGGCAAGAUGUUUUCAUUGUAAGGCCGAGUCUCUUAGUGCAUAGUUUGGUGUGCAGACAGUCAGGUAUUUUUCAGUCUUGCUCUUACAUUCCCCCUCCCUUUAAAAAAAUAGUUUUGAGUUUCACUACAGAUGCACCUGUAUGUGUUUUUCAUUAAAAACGUAAACUUAUCCACGAAAGAUCAUAAGUGGGAAGACCAGGCGGUUAGCCAUGGUGUUUAGCCACAUGGUGAAGUUUCCUCCCAUAGCUCCUAACCUGUUGCCACGUCUACGAGGUAAGAUAUCUCAUUUCAAUGGUACUGAAUUGUUUCCCACUUGGUUUCUAAAACCUUUUCAGAAAUCUGUGUUGUUUACCUUGUUGUAUUUCAUUGUACAUGUGAAUACGUGAAUGUACCUCUCACCUAAAAAUGUCAUACAAUGGUUCCAGCGACGGGCGAAGCUGCAUAUACAGUAGGAAUGAAGUACGUGUUUUAUCAUGUGUUUUAUUGUGGUUAUUUACAGUUCUCAGGUGUUGACUGGAUUUCAAUGCAUAUCAUGUAUUAUGUCAUUAUUUUUAAGUUUUGUAUUUGUGUUACGUGUUCAGUUGUAUUAUUUUAAACACACUGUAUCGAUAUUCUCAGUCAUUUGAUAGGAUAUCUAUCUACAAGAAUAACUAUGUUUGACAUUCUAUGGAAUGCUUUGGAACAUUCCGAACAACACAAAAAAAAAGUGUGGUGUAAGCAAGUGUUUUGUAAAUAUUGUGCAAUUCUGUUUUUGGAUUCAGUUUAAAGGAUGUUCUAGUAAAGACGGAAGCAAAUGAAACCCUUUGCGUUUUCUUCU